Molecule: long non-coding RNA, 1171 nt
Filed under: Anser cygnoides (Swan goose)
Lineage: Eukaryota; Metazoa; Chordata; Aves; Anseriformes; Anatidae
Description: lncRNA (ENSACDG00005005021.1)
Source: RNAcentral
AUGCCUCUUAAUUCUACUGCAUACAGACGCCUGUUUGCCAUUCAGCAAUGGGAGAAGGAAAGAGAGCUUUUGUUUGCUCUUGAAAGAAGACAGAAGGAUGAGCAGCACUUUACAGAAUCACCUCAGCUGGUAUAUAAACAAACCUGUGUACAUGAACCAAUAAAUAAAUAAAUAAAUAAUAAUUAAAAAAAAGGUCUGCAAGACAAUUUUGAAGUAGACUUCUCAGCUUUAUUUUUAACAGAAAUUAUUCUGCCAAGGUUAACUUGGAAUAAUGCUGUGUCAUUAACAGCAGAGAUAAAGGUGAGCAGAGCUUGACAAGCCCUGUGGAAAGGGCAGGGCUCCUUAAGGGUCUCUGAAUGAGCAGGCAGUGACUUCUGGAGUAAGAGAGGAGGUGAGCUUUUUGAACCUACUAAACAGCAAAGGUAAGGGCAGAGGUGAAGCUGAUAUGACCAGAUUGGAAGUUGCUGGUGGUUUGUGCAUGGUAGAGUUUUAGGCUUCAGCCCUUUGCUUGAACAAUGGCAUUUUGUUACUAAUAACAAGCUGUAGCACCACGUUAUUAAGCAGACAGACAGCAGGCAGCAUCUACACACAAUAUACUUUUUGUACUCUUUUUUUUUUUUUCCCUGAAAUACUUUCAGAAGGUUAUUCUUCCAUACAGUAGAUCACUUGCUUACAGAAAUGAGAAAACUAGUUUCAUCUGCUGCAUCUCUUUCAAAUUUAAGUUCAGAGAUGUGAGAACAGGGACCCAGACUUUUCAAAGUCAGGCUGUUUGAGGUGGGAAAACUUGGGUCACCAUUCUGUGAUUCUGUGUUUCUACUGUACUGUCUAAAUAAUACCAGUGCCUGUUGUGCACACAGGACUCAGAUGGCCAGGGCACCUGCUAAAAUAUUCAUUAGACAGUUGAAUUGAGUGCUUAAGGACUUGUAUACUUGUGGAAACAUUCAGAAUCAAUUUCAUCAUAGCUAUCACUUUUAAAUGGCUUUUGCUGCUUCGUGUCUCACCUUGGUGUUGUUCUGGUAUUCUGACUGUGCUGAGUUGCAGGCAGUUCCCAGUAUAUUUAAUACACCCAAGGUGUAAGGGGUUGUUAGUGGAAGGUGCUAGGAAAUUACGAUUAGAUGCAUUUUAAAGAUGUGUAAGUGUUUCUUGCCAGAUUUGCUUGUCCCAGGCAAUU